AUUGAACGCUGGCGGCAGGCCUAACACAUGCAAGUCGAGCGUGAAAGUCCUUCGGGAUGAGUAAAGCGGCGGACGGGUGAGUAACGCGUAGGAAUCUACCUAAUAGUGGGGGAUAACGUUUCGAAAGGAACGCUAAUACCGCAUACGUUCUGAGGAAGAAAGCAGGGCUCGCAAGACCUUGCGCUAUUAGAUGAGCCUGCGUCCGAUUAGCUAGUUGGUGGGGUAAAGGCCUACCAAGGCGACGAUCGGUAACUGGUCUGAGAGGAUGAUCAGUCACACUGGAACUGAGACACGGUCCAGACUCCUACGGGAGGCAGCAGUGGGAAUAUUGGACAAUGGGGGCAACCCUGAUCCAGCCAUGCCGCGUGUGUGAAGAAAGGCCUUCGGUUGU
RNAcentral lists this ribosomal RNA (391 nucleotides) under uncultured bacterium. RNAcentral describes it as "bacterial SSU rRNA". It matches the Rfam family "Bacterial small subunit ribosomal RNA", at positions 30 to 426 of the family's 1533-position model. The record is from RNAcentral.